GACUGGAUGGUCUAAUGGUCAUGAUUUUCCCUUCACACGGGAAAGGUUCCGGGUUCGAGACCCGGUCCGGUCA
Non-coding RNA from Rhodotorula graminis WP1, 73 nucleotides. The record is from Rfam. Lineage: Eukaryota; Fungi; Basidiomycota; Microbotryomycetes; Sporidiobolales; Sporidiobolaceae.